CUCCCCUCCCUGGACUGUGGCCGCACCCAGCCUGGGCCAUCCUGGGAAGGGCUGCCCCAGCGUGUGGGCUCCCACCCGUCCUGGGCUGGACUCAGUGCCCCCAGCCCACCUGGCUGUCCUCAGGGACUCAAUGGCCCCCGAAAGGCCCUUGUGAGGGGUGGCCCCAUCAUGCUGAAUCCUGAACUAGAUAGAACUAGAUUUGCCUUCGCCUAAACUCAAGUUGUUUCUGUAGAAGCAACUUACUGAUUUGGCUCAAAUUGACAGUGCAAGCUUCUUUCAAACUGAAAUCUCAGCCCCCACUGGCCCCAGGGCAGGGUUACCCUGUCUGAGCUGAGGGGACCAAGGCACCUGCUCAUGCAAUGGUCUGUUGCCUGUGUGCAGGGCAAACCUGGCACAUCAGCAUGGCAAGACAAGCCGUGAAACCCGGAAGGGUCUCAACAGGCGGCUCCACGCUACACCGGGGCUCCCGCAUCUCACCCGCCCUUCUGCAAUGGCAGCGGCACCUGGAGGCUCCCUCGCCCCGGCCUGUCAGGCCCUGGUGGGGGUGCUUUAAACGCACAGUAGAAGGGGGAGCUGCCUUUCACCCCAGCGGAACAAAACCAUCGCUCAGUGGGAGCCCGGAACCUCCCAGGAGCUUGCAGGUGCCGGGAGGCGCCGCGUUGGCCCAGCCCAGGGACAAGUUUACAGCGUGGCCGAGGCCCCGGAGCCUUCUCCAUAGACACGGAAAUUCACCUUCCUAGAGUCAAUCUAAACCCACAUUUCUCAACAGGAGGAAGAAGCUGCUCAGACAGGGUGGCGCCCAGCCACAGCCAGAGGCAGAGGCCGAGGUGUGCAGGGUCUCCGGAGCUCAUGGUGCUCGGGCUGUGGCAGGGAAGAGGCCAUGCCCUUCAGCCGUCCCCCCGUCUGUCCUCUCCCUGACCACAACGCCAGAGCUUCUCCAAAUCCUCGAGGGCCAGGCAGCCUGUCCCCACACCGGGCUCCACCCCUCACAUGUGUGAGGACCAGAGGCCUGCAACCUGUUGUCUAGGGGAUACCUCCCAGCUGCCUAAAACUCAAGGACCCAAGGCUAGAGCUGGGGCUGCCUCCCACUCCCACCCCACUCUUGGCAUUUACACCACCGGGGGCUGCUCUGAGUGACAACAGGACCCCCAGCCCCCAGUUGUCCCCACGCCCAGUGCAG
RNAcentral lists this long non-coding RNA (1180 nucleotides) under Homo sapiens (human). RNAcentral describes it as "HSALNT0270458". Lineage: Eukaryota; Metazoa; Chordata; Mammalia; Primates; Hominidae. The record is from RNAcentral.